GUCGAGCGGAUGAAGGGAGCUUGCUCCUGGAUUCAGCGGCGGACGGGUGAGUAAUGCCUAGGAAUCUGCCUGGUAGUGGGGGAUAACGUCCGGAAACGGGCGCUAAUACCGCAUACGUCCUGAGGGAGAAAGUGGGGGAUCUUCGGACCUCACGCUAUCAGAUGAGCCUAGGUCGGAUUAGCUAGUUGGUGGGGUAAAGGCCUACCAAGGCGACGAUCCGUAACUGGUCUGAGAGGAUGAUCAGUCACACUGGAACUGAGACACGGUCCAGACUCCUACGGGAGGCAGCAGUGGGGAAUAUUGGACAAUGGGCGAAAGCCUGAUCCAGCCAUGCCGCGUGUGUGAAGAAGGUCUUCGGAUUGUAAAGCACUUUAAGUUGGGAGGAAGGGCAGUAAGUUAAUACCUUGCUGUUUUGACGUUACCAACAGAAUAAGCACCGGCUAACUUCGUGCCAGCAGCCGCGGUAAUACGAAGGGUGCAAGCGUUAAUCGGAAUUACUGGGCGUAAAGCGCGCGUAGGUGGUUCAGCAAGUUGGAUGUGAAAUCCCCGGGCUCAACCUGGGAACUGCAUCCAAAACUACUGAGCUAGAGUACG
This 594-nucleotide ribosomal RNA is filed under the name uncultured Pseudomonas sp. RNAcentral describes it as "bacterial SSU rRNA". It matches the Rfam family "Bacterial small subunit ribosomal RNA", at positions 61 to 650 of the family's 1533-position model. The record is from RNAcentral. Lineage: Bacteria; Pseudomonadati; Pseudomonadota; Gammaproteobacteria; Pseudomonadales; Pseudomonadaceae.